UGGCCGGGUGCUCGAACGGGACGUGGCUCCAUUGCUUCUUGCCACCACGGUAGGAGCUCCAGCUGCUGCUGGGGUUGUUGGUGAAGAGGCGGCGCUCGCGGUUGCGGACGAUGACGGCGCGGCCCUCCUCGAGGACGAACGGCAGGUAGGAGUCGACGACGAGGUCCCGGUGGCGGCUGUGGAAGAUGACCCGGUAGAAGCGGCGCUCGUCCUCGCCGGGGUAUAUGCUGAUGACGUUGGACCUGGCGAUCUUCUUGGAGGCGUGCCACCAGAUGGUGGCGCCGUGGAAGGUGUCGGUGACCUCGUCGUAGUCGUCGACGGAGACCUGGAGGUUCUUGCUGUCCUUGCCGAGCUCGGCCCUGAGCUUGCGCGCGCGGCGGGCGCAGGCGUCGGAGAGGUAGGCCUCGACGGCUAGGUAGAAGUCGCUGCGGCGGAAGCGCUCGGCGCCGUACUCGGAGAUGGUGACCUCGAGGUAGGGGUUGAAGUAGGAGGCGAGCUUGUUGGACCAGGUGGCGAGGCGGAGGGUGAGGGUGGCGGGGAUGUGUCUCUGCACCACGGACCAGAGGAAGAGGAAGCUCGCCAGCGCCGACCCAAAUCCGGUCCACUUGUCCACAGCCGCCAUGGCUAGCUUUUUUAGUUCAGGGGAUCGAUGAUUUGUUGCUCACAUGUUGUGAGUUUAUAUAGACAGCAUGCAUCAUGUGCUUGACUUGGAGUCAACCGCUGCUGGCUGGGCGCCGUAGGAAGGAUCGGAGCAGGUGAGGUGAUGAAGCUGUCGCCAUUGUCGGAGCUAGUGGCUGAUUGCAAAGCAAAAGCGGUAAGUAUUUCAAUGCAUGCUUUCAAAUUGGGCCGCCCAGGCCGGCCCAAAUGCGUGCGUCAUCCUUGGAUAUAUACAUGCAUCAUGCAUGACCAAUAGCUGCUUGCGUGUCAUAGUCAUACACAGUCAUCAUCAUGCGAGAGCUUUGCCUCCACGGCUGUUCGUUUGCCGUCGUCUUUUGUCGUCGGAAGGAUCCUCGUAGCAGAGCAGAACAGGUGAGAGCGGGAGAGAUGGAGACGGCCGAGAUGGAUGGCAAAGGAAGAAUUUGCUUUGAAAUUGAAGCCGCCCAAAUGCGUCAUUGAUUUGUAUUAAUUUGGUCGUCUCAGCUCAGCUAGCAUGACUAGAUGGUGCGUGCAAUACAAGGUACCCUUCCCUCCGUUUUAGCUUUACUAGAUGGUGCGUGCAGUACAAGGUACCCUUCCCUCUGUUUUGGUUUUACUAGAUGGUGCGUGUAGGACAAGGUACCCUUCCCUCCAUUUUAGCUUUUCUAAGUUGUCUAGAUGCAUAGUAAUAUCUAUAAAUUUUAAAAAGCUAAAAUGACCUGCAGUUUGGAAUGAACGGAGUAGCAUACACACACAUAGACACCUUUGUCCAGUCUCAGACAUCGUCAAAUUGCCUAUGAAAUUUUACUCAACAAGUAAUAUACUAUAUAUUGCAUGCAAUACGUCGUCUAGCAGACGUAACCACAACUUAGAGUCUGACGCCAUGAUUCAGAUAUCAUGCUGCCUGCGUCAUGAUUCAUGCAUGCAGCUGCUCAUCUCCCGCCAUACACACAACACACUUGAUGUUGCUAGUGUUAAUCUUUUCGAGGCUAGUCUUGGGCCAUGCCGGCCGGCCGGAACCUUUUCCAUCUUCCAAACAAAAACGCUGGACAGCAGGCAUGGGUCGUCCCUUUCAUGCAUGCCACAUCUAUCUCAGCUCGCUACUUCAGGAUCUAUUUGGAUCCACAAACUAAUUGUUAGGUACCUAAUUUUAGUUGGGGUGGAUCUAAAUAGGGGCUAGUUAAUGCUCGGAUAAAACCUUUCUAUAUAGCUUCAUAGUUGGAUCCAACCCAUAUGAUUUCAGCUAACCAACUAAUGAAUUAGUUGGGUGGAUAAUCUCAGUCAAACCAGUCUUAUAGUCUUAUAAUUAACAAGAGUGCACCUAGAACUGCAUCCUAUAAGAUAUGGUUUAGUGUCACGACCCAAGACAUUCAUGCAUCCAACAACGUCAACAGCUAAAGAUAAAGAAAAGGGUGGGGCAAGAAAUGAAAGCUGAAAAGAGGACGAAAGAAUAGAGAGAAAGGUCCGGGUUGGGCAAAAAAAAAAUAGAGAGCGAUUGGAUCUUGAUCGUCUGGACUCAAAAUUGAAGUGUUGAGAAUCAUUGUGUGCAGUAAUUAGUUAACACAAAUCAUUAUAUUGUUUAUUUAUGGUUUAUCACUAUAUGAGUUGGAAAUGAACUUUUUUGCAUCUAUUUAAGUUAUUCAUGUUGAUAUCCAAUUAUCCAUGCAAUGCAGAUAGGUCGGAAAUAAUAUUUAUCAGGACACGUCUAUUUCAUGCUAGGGCGUUUGUAGGCCACCAACACUCAGCCUUUGAGCUAGUCGUCUCAAAUCCAAUGGUUCUCGUGUUUUUUAUUAUCUUCAGCCUUCCCUGAUCUUUGUCUAUUGCCUACACUCUUCCAGCAUCGGCACCUAAUGCACAUUCAUAAAUUUCAUAUUUUCCGAUGAGCAUCUUUCUCUACUACCUUUUUGCCACCACAUUAAUCGGGCGUGCCAUAUGCAUCAUGAUGCCCUACGCUGAUAAUGUCCACUUGGCAGUCCUAUUGUUGAUGUCAACCUAGCUAUCUCACUACCUCAACUACUUAAAAAUUUACUAACUAGUGAAUGUUUGGUAUGUGAGGAUACUUAUGUUUUUUACAUCCGAAAAUAUGAAUUUAGACGGAUCUGACAAAGCCAAGACUUUGGGUGAUUAUUUUGGCAUAUACAUAACUUCAAAUUAAAAUUGAUAGUCAAUAAAGUUAUACAUCUUUUCAAGAACUGCAAUUUACAUCUUGUGAGCUAAAGUUUACAAACAUAGCCUGAACAAAUAUAUGCAUACCUUUUUUUGGUGAGUUUGGGAUUGAGAUGGGAACCAUAUUGCUUUAGCCUAUAUGUACAUAUCGGCUUUACAGUAUGUAUAUGGUGCGGGAAAUAAAGUUGCUUCCACAUUUUGAUGUUUGUAUAUCAUGAACAUAUUUUUUUUCAAGAAUACAACAACGGGGAACAUGGCCUUGUGAACUCAUGUCAAACAAACAUAUACCAAACGGUAUUUAAACUGGCAACCUAAUGAGGGAUACCUCGAGGUAGUAGGUUGGUUAGUGGAGCUUCAUCGAGAUUAGGAACAUGAAGGCAAAUGUGAGGCACGACUUAGACAGGUUUCAACCGCUAGAGUAGCGUAAUACUCUACAUCUAGUGGGAUGUAUUGCCAUGCGUUGGUGUUGUUGUACUUUUGAGGUGUUCGUGCUUCACCUUAUAUAUCAGGGGCAGGAUUGUUACAGGUCGGUUUGUAUGAAUCCUAGUCAGCUAAGAUUGGAAGAAUCCUACUUUCGAGUACUUUUCCAAUAUAUGAUUAGUUGCCCUCUCGGGUAACUACGCCAUCCUGGAUCGUAGCUAUCUGUUGGAGUAGUCGGGCUAGCUUAUCCCCUUUCCAGGAUGAUCCAAGUCACCACAAAGGGCCCAUUGAUCCUGGUCCGUCAAUACCAGGCUCUACCACUAGGCCGUCUUGAUGUUUGGCUCCUAUGCAUUCUUUUGUGAGUUUGGGAUUGAGAAAGGAAUACAUCUCAGCGCAAGCAGGCAAUACUACCGGCUGAAGCAUUUAGCACUAGCAGCAGGAAUUAGGAGCACAUCAUUUACUUGAUACAUGCUCAUGAUUGGGAACUUGCGAUUAUAUAGAACUGGCUACUUUCCAACUUGCUUCCACAUCUGCCACCUAUGUUUGUUUAGCUCCGCAUGCUCAGUGUCUCCUCUCUUUUGAUACAUGCACAUUUUUCAUUAGAAGAUGCGGCAAAAACUCGUAUAACUUUAAUGAUAUUACACAACACUCCGCAAUACAAAAGUUAGAGAAGAGGAAUGUUCACAAGGUUACUGGAAAUGAAAUUUCAUAAACAGUACAUAACAACUAGCAUUGACGACCUUGUAGGUGUAGCGCAUCCGACAGCCAGAUCGACCUUAUACUAGGCUAAACGGUGAACCCUAAGGUUUGAGACGAUCGGCGUCAGAACACAGAAAAAUGACAAAAAGCUAGACUCCUGGAUUGGUUGAUUGACCAUGAAUGGAUCACAUAUUUUUUCCCUAAAAACUUGGCUAGCAAGUACUCCCUCCGUUUCAAAUUAUAGGUUGUUUUAGCUUUUUCUAAGUUCUAGAUAGAUAAUAUGUCUAGAUGCAUAAUAAAAUCUAUGAGCCUUAAAAUGUCAAAACGAUUUAUAAUUUGGAAUGGAGAGAUUAUUUCAUUAAGAAAAAGUAAGAUAAGUUUACAAAGCACGUGACCUCAAACCAAAACACAAGGAAGAUCCCAUGUUGGGUACGAAAGGUCACUGCGUUAUUGAAUUAAGACUUCUCCAUCACUAAUAAACAAGCUCACUACCUUCAUUAGUUGUCAUUUGUCGCAUCCGAUCCUUUUGUGUCACCAUUGCUCAUCUCGGCUUCAGUGGACAAUGACGUUUUGCCCUUCCCUUUGUCUUCUUCUCCUUUGGCUUCCUUCGCCGCCUUCUCCUUGGCUUCCUUUGCCUCCGCCUCCGCCUUCUCCUUGGCCUCCGCUUCCUCUUUCGCCUUUGCGGCGGCCGCCUCCUCCUUGGCCUUGUUCAGAGCUUCCACUAGAGCCGCCAGGCAUGCGUCGGUGUCCCUCUUCUUCUUCUUGGACAUGGGCAUCAGGUUCUCGGCCACGUCCGCCGGCGACAUCUGCGUCUCCUCCAGCAGCCGCCGAACCUCGCCGAAGAGGUCGUGCUCGGUGAUAUCCAGGUAGUUUUUGGCGAGCACCUUGAAGGCCUCGAAGCUGCAGUAGGACAUCUCGAUGUGCUUGUCCAUCCGGCCUCGCCGGAUCAGCGCCUGGUCCAGCUUCUCCUUGUGGUUGGUGGUGAAGAUGAUGAUGCGCUCGCCUCCGCACGCCGACCAGAGGCCGUCGAUGAAGUUGAGCAGCCCGGAGAGCGUGACCUUGGUGCUGUCGUCCUUGUCGGGAUCCACCGGCAGCUUGGGUUUGUCGUCGCUGCCGUCACCGUCGUCGGGCUUCUUCUUCUUGUCCUUGCGCUUGCCGGUGAGGUCGACGGAGCAGUCGAUGUCCUCGAUGACGAUGAUGGACUUGCCGGUGGUCUCGAUGAAGAGCUUGCGCAACUCGGUGUUGUUCUUCACCGCCGUGAGCUCCAGGUCGUAGACGUCGUAGUCGAGGUAGUUGGCCAUGGCGGCGAUCAUGGUGGACUUGCCGGUGCCCGGGGGGCCAUACAGCAGGUAGCCGCGCUUCCAUGGCUUGCCGACCUUGGCGUAGUAGUCCUUGGCCUCGCGGAACGCCUCGAGGUCGUCGACGAUGGCCUCCUUGUCGGCUGGGUCCAUGGCGAGCGUGGCGAACGUGGCCGGGUGCUCGAACGGGACGUGGCUCCAGACGCCGUUCCUGGUGCGGUAGGGGUUCCAGCUGCUGCUGGGGUUGUUGGUGAAGAGGCGGCGCUCGCGGUUUCGGACGGUGACGGCGCGGCCCUCGGCGAGGACGUAGGGCAGGUAGGAGGCGACGACGAGGUCGCGGUGGCGCCUGUGGAAGACGAGCUGGUAGAAGCGGCGCUCUUCCUCGCCGGGGUAGAAGCUGAUGACCUGGGACUUGGGGAGGUUCUUGGCGGCGUACCACCAGAGCUUGGCUCCGCUGAAGGUGUCGGUGACCUCGUCGUUGUCGUCGACGGAGACCUGGAGGUUGCUGCUGUCCUUGCCGAGCUCGGCCCGGAGCCUGCGGGCGCGGCGGGCGCAGGCGUCGGAGAGGUAGGCCUCGACGGCGAGGAACAAGUCGGUGCGGCUGAAG
Molecule: long non-coding RNA, 5826 nt
Filed under: Setaria italica (foxtail millet)
Lineage: Eukaryota; Viridiplantae; Streptophyta; Magnoliopsida; Poales; Poaceae
Description: long non-coding RNA (SITA_LNC002670)
Source: RNAcentral